AACGAACGCUGGCGGCAUGCCUAACACAUGCCAGUCGAACGAGACCUUCGGGUCUAGUGGCGCACGGGUGCGUAACGCGUGGGAACCUGCCCUUAGGUUCGGAAUAACUCCCCGAAAGGGAUGCUAAUACAGGAUAAUGUCUUCGGACCAAAGAUUUAUCGCCUUUGGAUGGGCCCGCGUUGGAUUAGCUGGUUGGUAGGGUAAAAGCAUACCAAGGCGACGUUCCAUAGCUGGUCUGAGAGGAUGCUCAGCCACACUGGGGCUGAGACACGGACCAGACUCCUACGGGAGGCAGCAGUGUGGAAUAUUGUACAAUGGGCGAAAGCCUGAUCCAGCAAUGCCGCGUGAGUGAUGAAGGCCUUAGGGUUGUAAAGCUCUUUUACACGGGAUGAUAAUGACAGUACCGGGAGAAUAAGCUCCGGCUAACUCCGUG
RNAcentral lists this ribosomal RNA (433 nucleotides) under uncultured bacterium. RNAcentral describes it as "partial 16S ribosomal RNA". It matches the Rfam family "Bacterial small subunit ribosomal RNA", at positions 29 to 507 of the family's 1533-position model. The record is from RNAcentral.